Long non-coding RNA from Cyprinus carpio carpio, 795 nucleotides. NCBI's taxonomy places the organism in Eukaryota, Metazoa, Chordata, Actinopteri, Cypriniformes, Cyprinidae. The record is from Ensembl.
UUUCCCCCAGACCUGUUGCUGUCUGCAAUUCCAUCGCGGUCUAAAGUACCAAGAAGAUUAGGCAAAGAGUCUGGUGACAUAGUUCUGCACGUCUUUCUCAAUACCAAGUAUGCAAAUUUCCCAAUAGCAUCUGUCUGCGGACUGCAAGAGAGGGGCGUAACUGGAAGGGGCGUAACUUGAUGAAGGGGGUGUAACUUGAAGUUGUCCAAAUCACACAGAACCACGCAAGAUGUUGUUGGAACAGAUGAGACACACAUGUGUUUAUCCGGUGCAGAGUGACUGAUGAAGGAAUGCUGCCAUCAAAGGCUUUCAUGCAUUUGCUGCAGAUCUUUUGUGUUGGAGCAGGACUUGCAAGGCAAAGUGACGGCGGCAUUUGUGGAAAAAAGAGAAACCUGAAACUAAAGGAUGAAACUGCUGUGUGAGGAUGGAGGAGUCCACAGCAGCAUCCUGGAAAUGGUCCAGUGCCAUGGAUGAGAUGCUCCAUCACUCCACCUCUUAAUGCCACACCUGGACCGGAUGUUGCUGUGGUCUUUUCAUCCUCAGUGCCAGCGAGAACAUCUAGAGAAAGACCAAAAGACACUGAGGAUGUGAUUUUGGUCAAGUUUGUUCUGCUGGUUUCUGUUCAUACAAUGAAGACUGACUUUCAGAAGCUUCAAAAGCAUCAUCAAAAAAUGUCAUGAAGCUUUUAUCCAAAGUGAUUUACAGUGCUCUUAUUACAGGGACCUAUAAUCCCCUAGAUCAACCUGGAGAAAAGGGCCUUGCUCAAGGACAUACUGGUGGUUUUGAACCAGCAAC